GCUGGCUGAUGUUCAGCUCGCUGCCCACAAAGACACUCAGGUCCUUUUUCUGCAGAGCACGCCCCAGCACGUAUCACUGCAGGGUGUUGGUCUACCCCAGGCGCAGGAUCUGCAUUUGUCUUGUUGAAUUUCCUGACAGUCCGUUCCUCCUGCCUGCUGAGGCCCACCUGAAUGGCAGCCCUCAAACAUAUGACUGUUCCUCCUGAGUAAAUGUCAUCUACAAAUGUGAUGAGAAUUGCAUCCUCCAGGUCAMUGAUGAACCGGUUAGACAGGACAGGUCCCAGUAUAGACCCCUCCAUACUCCACCUUUACCUGGCUUCCGGGUAAAGCAUAACCCAUUCAAAAAAACCCUCUGAGCAUGAUCAUCCAACCAGCUUUUUACCCACCUGCGUGUCUACCCAUCUUAUCAUAAUGCCUUAUUGUAUUCCUCAUUGCCCUCACGAUCUGGGACUCCACUAUUUCACAGUCACUGCAGCCAAGGUUUCCACAGAUUAUCACAGCCCUGAUCCGUGCUUCCUUGUGUGAGUACCAGAUCCACGUGAGCAUCACCCUUCCUGGCUCAUCAGGGAGCUGUACUUGAAAGCUGUCCCUGACACCCUCCAGAAAUCUCCUGGACUGCUUGCACCCUCCUGUUUACCUUUCCAAUGAAUAUCGGGGAGAUUAAAGUCUCCCCAUAAAAACCACACCCUGUGACCACUAACUUCCUCAGGUUGCUUAAAGGAGACUGCAUCCACCUCCUCACCCUCUUCAGGGGGUCUGUAACUCCCAUCACAACAACACCUUUGCUCUGAUGCCCAGCCACAAGCUCUCACCCAAACCCUUGUCCAUCCCAUGCAAGAGCUCCAUCCAUCUGAGCUGUCCCUUCACACCAAGGGCAUCCCCCCUGCUCAUCUUCCCUAAUCGUCUUGCCUGCAGAGAUUGUACCCUGCCAUCACAGCCCUCCAGUCAUGGUAGUGAUCCCACCGCUUCUCAGUUAUUCCAACGAUGUUUCAGUCCUGUGACAGCUUGUGCAUCUCCAUCUGUUCCUCUCUGUGCCCCAGGCUGCAUUCACUUGUGUGUAUUUGAGUUGCAGAGCCUCAGCUGUGGCACAGAGAGCAGACCAGUCAUGGUGAAACCUGUUACCAUGAGCCAAGGACACCGUGUGUGCAAUGGCCCCACCUCAGAGCAGAGACAUGCUGGCAUCGAUAGCAGGUGGCAAUGUAAUGGUGGAAUGAGGUUCCCACUGAGAGAGCAAACCCUACAGUGCCCAAGGUCAGCAAGAAACAGAGCUGGGCUGUACAGGAAUGCCAGUAGAGGGGCUGGCUGCCUGAGCUGACUCUGCAGCAGGUUGGUACCCUGUGACAGAGGUGAAGCAAUCUCCAGGCAGGACAAGGUGCCACUGAAGAAGUCCCUGGGCCUGGGUAGCCUGUGAUUUGGCACCCUGAGGUCAUCAUUAGCCCAGUUCCUGUUCAUAUCACCUGGGGGUGAAAAGAGGUUCAGGGGGAGCAAAGCUAGAAGGUUUUAAGGGUGCAGAGACUAGAGCAGAGACCUUGCUGGGAUGUGCCUCUCCCAUUUAUGCAGCACACUUGGUGUAGGUUGGAGGGACUUGGCCUAAAGGCAGUGGUGGGAUCCAGUUGUUUGGGCACAGGUAGGAAACCUGAAUUGCCCUGGGGUACUUGUCCAGCAACCACUCCAAAGGGGCAUGGUUUUCCUAGAGGUCCCAUGCUGUAUCUGCUAGAGACAUGUGCUUGUGCUGGACCCCUGAGGCAUUCAACAUGGCCCUGCAAGCCUAUUUCUAUGUCACUGAAUCAAGUUCCUGCACUGGAUGACAUCAACUGUUUGCAGUGUCGUGAUCUGCAUGUGUCUCAGCUUCCUAGUGAGUGGAGCUCUGGUAGCAGUGGGCAUCUAGUAUCAUUGCAGGUGGCCAAGGAAAUUCCCCUCCUGGCCCUCUCCUCAUGCUCUAGAAGGAUGUGGGUGUCACACUUGCUCCAUCAGAGCAAGCAGAUACUGGCACAUAUCCUCCAGCACCACUGUCUCUUCCAAUGUCACCAGGUGUUUGUGUGCGAGCAACUGACUCCCACCCUCCUUCUCUUUUGAUUAUAACAGGAGCAUGGACCAAGAUUAGCAUGCAGACUUUCAUGCUGUGCUCACUUCUGCCUGGGCAAGGGGAAUCCCACCCCCUUUG
Molecule: long non-coding RNA, 2164 nt
Filed under: Apteryx haastii (Great spotted kiwi)
Lineage: Eukaryota; Metazoa; Chordata; Aves; Apterygiformes; Apterygidae
Description: lncRNA (ENSAHAG00000002370.1)
Source: RNAcentral